CCUACGGGUGGCAGCAGUAGGGAAUUUUGCGCAAUGGGCGCUAGCCUGACGCAGCAACGCCGCGUGAAUGAUUAAGCCCUUCGGGGUGGAAAGAUCUGUCAGUGGGGGCGAAACUUGCCGGUAGCCACAGAGGAAGCACCUGCUAAAUCCGUGACAGCAGCCGCGGUAAUACGGAGGGUGCACGCGUUUUCCGGAAUCAUUGGGGUUAAAGAGUUCGUAGGUGGCAUAUUGAGUCUGCUGUGAAAUGCAGAGGCUCAACUUAGGUUCGGCAGUGGAUACUGGUAUCCUUGAUUGCGGUAGAGGUAAGGGGAAUUCCUGGUGUAGCGGUGAAAUGCGUAGAUAUCAGGAGGAACUCCGGUGGCGUAGGCGCUUUGCUGGACCGUAAUUGACGCUGAGGAUCGAAAGUGGGGGUAGCAAAUGGGAUUAGAUACCCGGGUAGUC
Molecule: ribosomal RNA, 441 nt
Filed under: uncultured bacterium
Lineage: Bacteria
Description: partial 16S ribosomal RNA
Rfam family: Bacterial small subunit ribosomal RNA
Source: RNAcentral